RNAcentral lists this ribosomal RNA (492 nucleotides) under uncultured bacterium. RNAcentral describes it as "partial 16S ribosomal RNA". It matches the Rfam family "Bacterial small subunit ribosomal RNA", at positions 29 to 507 of the family's 1533-position model. The record is from RNAcentral.
AGUGAACGCUGGCGGUAGGCCUAACACAUGCAAGUCGAACGGCAGCACAGUAAGAGCUUGCUCUUACGGGUGGCGAGUGGCGGACGGGUGAGGAAUACAUCGGAAUCUACUUUUUCGUGGGGGAUAACGUAGGGAAACUUACGCUAAUACCGCAUACGACCUACGGGUGAAAGCAGGGGAUCUUCGGAACUUGCGCGAUUGCAUGAGCCGAUGUCGGAUUAGCUAGUUGGCGGGGUAAAGGCCCACCAAGGCGACGAUCCGUAGCUGGUCUGAGAGGAUGAUCAGCCACACUGGAACUGAGACACGGUCCAGACUCCUACGGGAGGCAGCAGUGGGGAAUAUUGGACAAUGGGCGCAAGCCUGAUCCAGCCAUACCGCGUGGGUGAAGAAGGCCUUCGGGUUGUAAAGCCCUUUUGUUGGGAAAGAAAAGCAGCAGGUUAAUACCCCGCUGUCCUGACGGUACCCAAAGAAUAAGCACCGGCUAACUUCGUG